This 198-nucleotide long non-coding RNA is filed under the name Ursus maritimus (polar bear). RNAcentral's name for it is "lncRNA (ENSUMAG00000022266.1)". The record is from RNAcentral. Lineage: Eukaryota; Metazoa; Chordata; Mammalia; Carnivora; Ursidae.
GAUGCCAUGGCCGAGUCACCGAGCCGGGACGUGGUGGGAUCCGCAACAGGGAAAAAAAAAGGAAAAAAAAAACAAUGCCAACAGCCCAGCGUCCGUGAGCAACCCAACAGUAACAAAGCAGGUGUUCGGGAUGGAGGAAGAACUACAGCGAGAGGGAAGCAUCGAGACUCUGAGUAACAGCUCCGGUUCUACCAGCGG